This 263-nucleotide ribosomal RNA is filed under the name uncultured bacterium. RNAcentral's name for it is "partial 16S ribosomal RNA". It matches the Rfam family "Bacterial small subunit ribosomal RNA", at positions 793 to 1055 of the family's 1533-position model. The record is from RNAcentral.
GUCCACGCCGUAAACGAUGGGUGCUAGGUGUGGGGGGUGUCGACUCCCUCCGUGCCGAAGCUAACGCAUUAAGCACCCCGCCUGGGGAGUACGGCCGCAAGGCUAAAACUCAAAGGAAUUGACGGGGGCCCGCACAAGCAGCGGAGCAUGUGGUUUAAUUCGACGCAACGCGAAGAACCUUACCUAGGCUUGACAUGCACGGGAAUGUCGUGGAAACACGGCAGUCCUUCGGGACUCGUGCACAGGUGUUGCAUGGCUGUCGU